This 556-nucleotide ribosomal RNA is filed under the name uncultured Glomeromycotina. RNAcentral describes it as "SSU rRNA". It matches the Rfam family "Eukaryotic small subunit ribosomal RNA", at positions 548 to 1098 of the family's 1831-position model. The record is from RNAcentral. Lineage: Eukaryota; Fungi; Glomeromycota.
UUGGAGGGCAAGUCUGGUGCCAGCAGCCGCGGUAAUUCCAGCUCCAAUAGCGUAUAUUAAAGUUGUUGCAGUUAAAAAGCUCGUAGUUGAAUUUCGGGAUUGACGUGAUGGUCAUGCCUUAAGGGGUAUGAACUGUUACUGUUGAUUUCUCACCUUCUGGAGAAACUUGAUGUCCUUUAUUGGGUGUCUUGCGGAUCCAGGACCUUUACCUUGAAAAAAUUAGAGUGUUUAAAGCAGGCAUUUUUGCUCGAAUACAUUAGCAUGGAAUAAUAGAAUAGGACGGCAUGGUUCUAUUUUGUUGGUUUCUAGGAUCACCGUAAUGAUUAAUAGGGAUAGUUGGGGGCAUUAGUAUUCAAUUGUCAGAGGUGAAAUUCUUGGAUUUAUUGAAGACUAACUACUGCGAAAGCAUUUGCCAAGGAUGUUUUCAUUAAUCAAGAACGAAAGUUAGGGGAUCGAAGACGAUCAGAUACCGUCGUAGUCUUAACCAUAAACUAUGCCGACUAGGAAUCAGACGAUGUUAAUUUUUUAAUGACUCGUUCGGCGCCUUACGGGAAAC